AGCAAUAAUGCAUUACAAAAACCUUCUGAUUGUCAUAAAAGAUUAAAUUAAGAAAUAAGAAUGAAGACUAGAGAGAAUAAAACUCGAAACAAGAGUUUUCUUAUUGCUUUCUCUUUCUCUUCUCUUUUUCUCUGUUUUCUCUAUAUCUUAUAAAUGAAUGAAAUGAGUUAUAUAUAGUAGAGCUUACUUAGCUAGGAAGUAAAUUACUUAGAGAAUAGUAAUGGAUAAACAUCAUCCAUAUCUUAAAGAUGAAGUAAUGGAUAAACAUCAUCCAUAUUUUAAGAAGGAAAUAAUGGAUAAACAUCAUCUAUAUCUUAAGGAAGAAAUAAUGGAUAAACAUCAUCCAUAUCUUAUGGAUAGAGAUGAAUGAUGGAUAAUGACAUCCAUACUUAUCCGGUUUAUAACACUGAUCAAAAUAAUACCAUUAUUCUACGUUCUCUAAUCGUGAAUCCUCAUAAUUGAGAUAUACAGUUUUAUUU
This 479-nucleotide small RNA is filed under the name Arabidopsis thaliana (thale cress). RNAcentral's name for it is "ATSL260610". Lineage: Eukaryota; Viridiplantae; Streptophyta; Magnoliopsida; Brassicales; Brassicaceae. The record is from RNAcentral.